Molecule: Y RNA, 102 nt
Filed under: Microcebus murinus (gray mouse lemur)
Lineage: Eukaryota; Metazoa; Chordata; Mammalia; Primates; Cheirogaleidae
Description: Y RNA (ENSMICG00000045258.1)
Rfam family: Y RNA
About the family: Y RNAs are components of the Ro ribonucleoprotein particle (Ro RNP), in association with Ro60 and La proteins. The Y RNAs and Ro60 and La proteins are well conserved, but the function of the Ro RNP is not known. In humans the RNA component can be one of four small RNAs -- hY1, hY3, hY4 and hY5.
Source: Rfam by way of RNAcentral
GGCUGGGCCGAGUGCAGUGGUGUCUACAACUAAUUGAUCACAACCAAUUACAGAUUUCUUUGUUCCUUCUCCACUCCCACUGCUUCACUUGACCACUCUAAA